AGACAUCAGAUAAAUCUGUGCU
Molecule: microRNA, 22 nt
Filed under: Salmo salar (Atlantic salmon)
Lineage: Eukaryota; Metazoa; Chordata; Actinopteri; Salmoniformes; Salmonidae
Also listed under: 8 other names
Description: ssa-miR-723-3p
Gene: ssa-miR-723-3p
Source: miRBase by way of RNAcentral